CCGCCAACCCCACCCAGCCCUCAGACCCUUCCAGCUGCAGCUGUCGUCUUUGCUUCAGCCUUAGCCGCCACUGGUUGCCUGAGGUGCUCUUACAGCCUGUUCCAGGUGUGGCUUAAUCCGUCUCCACCACCAGAUCUUUCUCCGUGGGUUCCUCUGCUAAGACCGCUGGUGAGUGGGCAGUGGGCUUGGACUCCUGGGUCUGAGGGAGGAAGGAUUGGGUUCUGGACUCCUAGAUCCUGGGAGAAAGACCAGGAAGCUUGGGCUCCAAGGAAUAGGGCCCCAGACACUGAGAUAUCUGAGGAAGAAGCAUGGCCAGGCCCUGGCUCCCUUGUCUCGGGGAGCUGCUGUGCUGGGACUGCCGGGAAGAGGUUAAGACCUGUGCUACUGCCCUGCAAUGUGCCUGAAUCUGAAAGGAGGAAGUUACUUUCCUGUGGGCUAGGAGAGGUCAACUUGGGUUUAGUGGUGUGGCUGCAAUGAGACAGUUUACACCCUGAGGAAAGAACUGGGCACCUGGUUUCUAAGAGGACUGGCACUUGAUUCCUGGGGGCCGUUAGGACAAGGAGGUGAAAGCUGUAGAUUUUGCAAGGACAAAAGAAGCAAGUUGGUUUUCUGGAGUCUGGGGCAUCUGGGAUCCUUCAGGCUCAGGGCCCAGGGCCAGAGGUCUGACCCCUUAUGACAGGACUGUG
Molecule: long non-coding RNA, 686 nt
Filed under: Macaca mulatta (Rhesus monkey)
Lineage: Eukaryota; Metazoa; Chordata; Mammalia; Primates; Cercopithecidae
Description: lncRNA (ENSMMUG00000050385.1)
Source: RNAcentral